This 447-nucleotide unclassified non-coding RNA is filed under the name Albizia amara. RNAcentral's name for it is "external transcribed spacer". Lineage: Eukaryota; Viridiplantae; Streptophyta; Magnoliopsida; Fabales; Fabaceae. The record is from RNAcentral.
GAGACAAGCAUAUGACUACUGGCAGGAUCAACCAGGUAGCAUUCCUCCGAGACGCCGCGCGCCGCCCUUGCGCCGCCGGGGGCGGUCCCCAAGGGGCGGGCGCGGCCGUCAUACGUGGUUAUAUCGGAGCUCCUCUUAGGGAGGGGGAACGGGUCCCCGCCCCGCGGCGUGCGCUGGGUCCAAGAGCGUCGCACAUCCCCGUGGGCCACGCGACCGAGUAAGGCUCGGUGGAACACGGGGGGUGCUUCGAUGUCCUCCCGCGCCCGUUACAAGGCGCCGGAUGGAGGCUAAUUGCGAGCGGCCCGCUUCCCCUGAAGGGGUAGGGGGCACAAGAACCGGCCUCUGAGGCGCCAUCCCACCCCACGGCAACCAAACACGGAUUGCCUGCCGACCGUUCGGUGGACGAGCACGGAGCCAGCCGGCAGAUACAAUCCAAACACCACUCCC